GCUCCAGUGGCGCAAUCGGUCAGCGCGCGGUACUUAUAAUGUCGAGGUUGUGAGUUCAAGCCUCACCUGGAGCA
Molecule: non-coding RNA, 74 nt
Organism: Austrofundulus limnaeus
Lineage: Eukaryota; Metazoa; Chordata; Actinopteri; Cyprinodontiformes; Rivulidae
Source: the annotation of a RefSeq genome assembly